GGAUUAUAUAGAAUUGUCGAAUGCUGGUUUGAUGUUGGAAAGUCUGGAUUUGGAGUGUAUAAAUACAAGCUUGUUAGGAUAGAGAAUCAGGAAGAGAUGGGAAGUGCUAUUCUUCGUUUUGCACAGAAUCUUAGGAUCAGACCUUUGGAGGCAAGGCCUACUGGUUAUGUUACUCUCGAUAUAUCAAGGAAAAAAGAAAAUGUGCCAGUGUUUCUUUUCAACGAUAUUGAUGAUAAUCAUGAUCCGGCUUAUUUUGAAUAUCUAGUAAAACCUAUUUAUCCUCCACAUGUUUCUCUGAAUGUGCACAGUGGUAAUGGCUG
This 320-nucleotide unclassified non-coding RNA is filed under the name Hevea brasiliensis (rubber tree). The record is from RNAcentral. Lineage: Eukaryota; Viridiplantae; Streptophyta; Magnoliopsida; Malpighiales; Euphorbiaceae.